UUAAGAAUAAACUAUUUAAGUUGAUUUAUUGUUAAUAAAUUCAUGAUGUAUAUCUUCUUAAU
Molecule: transfer RNA, 62 nt
Filed under: Parasacculina yatsui
Lineage: Eukaryota; Metazoa; Arthropoda; Thecostraca; Polyascidae
Description: tRNA-Asn
Source: RNAcentral